CGUGAUGUAGAUUGGAUGAUGAUAAGUCUAGAUGUGCAAAGUGUGAAGGCUGCCAGCUUGGGCCGUGAAGCCUGCUUCCAUGGUGCUGUGUUGAUUCAUUUAAAUUUGAAUGGUGCAGGCCGUGAAGAUGGAUGAACGUGUUGCUGUUUUUGUGCAUGGAGGUACGAGCUGCUGCAAUUUUGAUUCAGAGAGCUGGUGCAAGUCUGGACCGUGUGGGCUCCCAUGACGUUAGCUUGAUUUUUAAAAUGAAGGGUGAAUGAUUUGCUUCAUGUGCUUCUUUCUCUAUUUGGUGGCAGUUGCAGCUUGUAGGCCGUGACACAUCCGCUGCCGUGGCCGUGUAUGUGAUCAGGAUAACGUCUCCUUGCUGGACAGUUUGAAGCUCGGGCGUGGGUGAGAUGUUGGGCUGCUUCAAAUGUAUUUGGUGUGGCAGCUGGAUGUGUGGCUUUGGUGCUGCUAUGGGCUGUGAUGUGCUGUCCUUCACGUGCUCC
RNAcentral lists this long non-coding RNA (488 nucleotides) under Vigna radiata. RNAcentral describes it as "long non-coding RNA (VRAD_LNC005761)". Lineage: Eukaryota; Viridiplantae; Streptophyta; Magnoliopsida; Fabales; Fabaceae. The record is from RNAcentral.